UAAGAGGGGCAACAUGGUAAAGUUACAUUAUCAAUCAUUAUUUUCUUAAUAGUUGUGUCAUUCCAAUUUGAGACGGAUAAAAUAGGACGGAGGGAAUAAAUAAAAAUAAUAACUAAUUAUUACCUAACUAACUAAUUUGGCCUAAAAUUUAACACGUGUCAUUUUCAUAGGUUGUCACUUGGAACAAUCUAAGCAAGACUUUCAGAUAUAGACUGGCUUAUUGUUAUUAAGAAAAUUACUUCAUCUGUCUAUUCAGACCACCGAUUCUUUUCUUAUGAUAGUUAGCAUCUAUCCAUACACUCAAAAUUUUGAAAGAAGGAGCUUUCAAUGAUAUCAUAAUCAGGCGUGACUGGUUGCUCCUUGCAGCCUGUGCACAGCGCCUUCUUAUGCUACAACAUAGUUUUACCAUAGCUUACAACGGUCAAAAGUUAAUCCUGUAAUGUGCCUGUGUCCUCUUGCACUUCUUGUCUGAAACAACAAAUAAUUCUAGCACUUUUUUCUUCUAACUCGUUCUAGUAGCUUGAAAGACGAGCAACUGACAAAACAGUGAAAAGUUGUGUAUCCACAAAAACCUGCAUAACAUGAAAGAGAAUAAAUCAAUGAGAUUAUACAUCAGCCUACUCGAAAGAAGAUGACCACAUAUCAAGGAGAAGGUUUGAUUAUCACAAGAAUGCGAAAGGAUGAGCAGAAAAGGCUAAAUAAGUACAACCCAUCAACAACAAUAUCGAUUGAUGGACUAAUAAUCUUGACUCAAAGAGGACUAGCCAGGGAAGAAGAGUAUUAUUCAAGAUCACUGCAACACCAACCCACCAAAAAGGGCUAACGAAUAAAAAAAACAUCAUAUAUGGGUAAGGUACACUGUUGUGAGCAUCUAUUUUGACUGCCACAUAAAUUAGGCCAAGGUAUUCAGCUUCCUAUACCACUUAACAAAUAUAUCAAAAUGCCUUCAAAAGGAGGGAUAUGGUUUAUCAGAAUCAGCAUUUCUACCUUACAAAGGUAGCGUAAGGUUCGCAUAUAUUCUAUUCUUUUCCAAACCUACUUUGUGGGAUUACAGUGUAAAAAAAUCAGCAGGAGUGAUAUGUCGUAUUGAGCAGGCCAAGUGUAAAUGAAAAGAAUUAAAUAACUACCACUUACCGAUAACAGAGAAAAUGUUUAC
RNAcentral lists this long non-coding RNA (1156 nucleotides) under Capsicum annuum. RNAcentral describes it as "long non-coding RNA (CANN_LNC016927)". Lineage: Eukaryota; Viridiplantae; Streptophyta; Magnoliopsida; Solanales; Solanaceae. The record is from RNAcentral.